UUGGAGGGCAAGUCUGGUGCCAGCAGCCGCGGUAAUUACAGCUCCAAUAGCGUAUAUUAAAGUUGUUGCAGUUAAAAAGCUCGUAGUUGAAUUUCGGGAUCAAUAUGCCGGUCAUGUCUUGGUAUGCACUGGUAUCUUUGAUUUCUCCCUUCUGACGAACUUUGAUGUCAUUAAUUUGGUGUCAUAGGGAAUCAGGACUGUUACUUUGAAAAAAUUAGAGUGUUUAAAGCAGGCUCACGCUUGAAUACAUUAGCAUGGAAUAAUGAAAUAGGACGUUUGAUUCUAUUUUGUUGGUUUCUAGGAUCGACGUAAUGAUUAAUAGGGAUAGUUGGGGGCAUUAGUAUUCAAUUGUCAGAGGUGAAAUUCUUGGAUUUAUUGAAGACUAACUACUGCGAAAGCAUAUGCCAAGGAUGUUUUCAUUAAUCAAGAACGAAAGUUAGGGGAUCGAAGACGAUCAGAUACCGUCGUAGUCUUAACCAUAAACUAUGCCGACUAGGGAUCGGAUGAUGUUAAUUUUUUAAUGACUCAUUCGGCGCCUUACGGGAAAC
This 548-nucleotide ribosomal RNA is filed under the name uncultured Glomus. Its description in RNAcentral is "SSU rRNA". It matches the Rfam family "Eukaryotic small subunit ribosomal RNA", at positions 548 to 1098 of the family's 1831-position model. Lineage: Eukaryota; Fungi; Glomeromycota; Glomeromycetes; Glomerales; Glomeraceae. The record is from RNAcentral.